Molecule: ribosomal RNA, 724 nt
Filed under: uncultured organism
Description: bacterial SSU rRNA
Rfam family: Bacterial small subunit ribosomal RNA
Source: RNAcentral
UGGACAGUGGCAGACUGGUGAGUAACGCGUGGAUAAUCUGCCCCGAAGAUGAGGAUAGCUCGCCGAAAGGUGAGGUAAUCCUCAAUGGUGUGGGAAGUACGUAUGUACAUCCCACUAAAGCUUUAGCGCUUCGGGAUGAGUCUGCGUCCUAUCAGCUUGUUGGUAGAGUAAAGGUCUACCAAGGCUAAGACGGGUAACUGGUCUGAGAGGAUGGUCAGUCACAGUGGCACUGAAACACGGGCCACACUCCUACGGGAGGCAGCAAUUAGGAAUCUUGCACAAUGGAGGAAACUCUGAUGCAGCGACACCGCGUGAAGGAUGAAGACCCUCGGGUUGUAAACUUCUUUUAUAAUCUAACAAGUUCUGAGUGGAGUAUGAAUAAGCACCUGCUAACUGCGUGCCAGAAGCAUCGGUGAAGCGUGGGGUGCGAGCGUUAUCCGGAUUUAUUGGGCGUAAAGAGAUGCGUAGGCGUUUUGGUAAGUCUUCUGUCAAAGCCUUCGGCCUAACCGAAGAAAGGCAGAGGAUACUAUCAGAAUUGAGACAGAGAGGGGGAAGUGGAAUUCCCGGUGGAGCGGUGAAAUGCGUUGAUAUCGGGAGGAACACCAGUGGCGAAGGCAACUUCCUGGCUCUGUUCUGACGCUGAGGCUCGAAAGCGUGGAGAGCAAAGCGGAUUAGAUACCCGUGUAGUCCAUGCUGUAAACGUUGGAUACUGGACGUUUGGUUC